ACUCCUACGGGAGGCAGCAGUAGGGAAUCUUCCACAAUGGGCGCAAGCCUGAUGGAGCAACACCGCGUGAGUGAAGAAGGGUUUCGGCUCGUAAAGCUCUGUUGUUAAAGAAGAACACGUAUGAGAGUAACUGUUCAUACGUUGACGGUAUUUAACCAGAAAGUCACGGCUAACUACGUGCCAGCAGCCGCGGUAAUACGUAGGUGGCAAGCGUUAUCCGGAUUUAUUGGGCGUAAAGAGAGUGCAGGCGGUUUUCUAAGUCUGAUGUGAAAGCCUUCGGCUUGACCGGAGAAGUGCAUCGGAAACUGGAUAACUUGAGUGCAGAAGAGGGUAGUGGAACUCCAUGUGUAGCGGUGGAAUGCAUAGAUAUAUGGAAGAACACCAGUGGCGAAGGCGGCUACCUGGUCUGCAACUGACGCUGAGACUCGAAAGCAUGGGUAGCGAACAGGAUUAGAUACCCUGGUAGGAUAGCG
This 473-nucleotide ribosomal RNA is filed under the name uncultured bacterium. Its description in RNAcentral is "bacterial SSU rRNA". It matches the Rfam family "Bacterial small subunit ribosomal RNA", at positions 335 to 801 of the family's 1533-position model. The record is from RNAcentral.